RNAcentral lists this ribosomal RNA (397 nucleotides) under uncultured bacterium. RNAcentral's name for it is "bacterial SSU rRNA". It matches the Rfam family "Bacterial small subunit ribosomal RNA", at positions 37 to 429 of the family's 1533-position model. The record is from RNAcentral.
UAGCGGCAGGCUUAAUACAUGCAAGUCGAGGGGCAGCAUGGUGUAGCAAUACACUGAUGGCGACCGGCAAACGGGUGCGGAACACGUACAGAACCUUCCUUCGAGCGGGGAAUAGCCCAGAGAAAUUUGGAUUAAUACCCCAUAGUACAUUGAGGCGGCAUCGUUUUAAUGUUAAAGAUUUAUCACUUGAAGAUGGCUGUGCGGCUGAUUAGGUAGUUGGCGGGGUAACGGCCCACCAAGCCUGCGAUCAGUAACUGGUGUGAGAGCACGACCAGUCACACGGGCACUGAGACACGGGCCCGACUCCUACGGGAGGCAGCAGUAAGGAAUAUUGGUCAAUGGCGAAAGUCUGAACCAGCCAUGCCGCGUGGAGGAUGAAGGUCCUCUGGAUUGUAAC